UUGGAGGGCAAGUCUGGUGCCAGCAGCCGCGGUAAUUCCAGCUCCAAUAGCGUAUAUUAAAGUUGCUGCAGUUAAAAAGCUCGUAGUUGAAUUUCGGGGUUAGUAGGUUGGUCAUGCCACUUGUAUGUACUGGUCUCACUGAUUCCUCCUUCCUGAUGAGACGUAAUGCCAUUAAUUUGGUGUUGCGAGGAAUCUGGACUGUUACUUUGAAAAAAUUAGAGUGUUUAAAGCAGGCUAACGCUUGAAUACAUUAGCAUGGAAUAAUGAAAUAGGACGUUCGAUCUUAUUUUGUUGGUUUCUAGGAUUGACGUAAUGAUUAAUAGGGAUAGUUGGGGGCAUUAGUAUUCAAUUGUCAGAGGUGAAAUUCUUGGAUUUAUUGAAGACUAACUACUGCGAAAGCAUUUGCCAAGGAUGUUUUCAUUAAUCAAGAACGAAAGUUAGGGGAUCGAAGACGAUCAGAUACCGUCGUAGUCUUAACCAUAAACUAUGCCGACUAGGGAUCGGAUGAUGUUAAUUUUUUAAUGACUCAUUCGACGCCUUACGGGAAACCAAAGUGUUUGGGUUC
RNAcentral lists this ribosomal RNA (565 nucleotides) under uncultured Glomeromycotina. RNAcentral's name for it is "SSU rRNA". It matches the Rfam family "Eukaryotic small subunit ribosomal RNA", at positions 548 to 1114 of the family's 1831-position model. The record is from RNAcentral. Lineage: Eukaryota; Fungi; Glomeromycota.